RNAcentral lists this long non-coding RNA (475 nucleotides) under Homo sapiens (human). Its description in RNAcentral is "non-protein coding lnc-CTAGE5-1:30". Lineage: Eukaryota; Metazoa; Chordata; Mammalia; Primates; Hominidae. The record is from RNAcentral.
AAAUAUCUGGGGUCCCCGGCCUCAUGCCCGCCUUGCUGCUCAGCCUGCUGGCUGGCCCCCAAAAUGUUGCAGCUAAAUGUGGUCUCUCCUUCGCCUGCCCCAAAGGAUUCAAAUGCUGUGGCGACAGCUGCUGCCAGGAGAACGAGUUCUUCCCUGGCCCCUUGAGGAUCUUCGUCAUCAUCUUCCUGGUCAUCCUGCCUCUCUUGUGCAUCUGUGGCCUGGCUAAGCGCUUCUGUCCCAACUGCAGAGACCUGGACCCAGACGCCCUGAAGGAUUGCCAGGGGCCCCGGGAACUGCCCUCCAUCAUCCCCCUAGAGAGGGUCAGAGCAUCCCUCUCUACUCCCCCACCCCCCUACAGUGAGUGAUUCUGAAGCCUACUCGGGGCCAGAGUCCCACAGAGCCACCCCCUCCCUACAGCUUCAGGCCUGAAAAAUAUACUGGGGAUCAGAGGGCCAUUGACAGCCCAGCCUUCUGA